RNAcentral lists this transfer RNA (74 nucleotides) under Nanobdellota archaeon. RNAcentral describes it as "tRNA-Ala". It matches the Rfam family "tRNA". Rfam says of the family: Transfer RNA (tRNA) molecules are approximately 80 nucleotides in length. Their secondary structure includes four short double-helical elements and three loops (D, anti-codon, and T loops). Further hydrogen bonds mediate the characteristic L-shaped molecular structure. tRNAs have two regions of fundamental functional importance: the anti-codon, which is responsible for specific mRNA codon recognition, and the 3' end, to which the tRNAs corresponding amino acid is attached (by aminoacyl-tRNA synthetases). tRNAs cope with the degeneracy of the genetic code in two manners: having more than one tRNA (with a specific anti-codon) for a particular amino acid; and 'wobble' base-pairing, i.e. permitting non-standard base-pairing at the 3rd anti-codon position. The record is from RNAcentral. Lineage: Archaea; Nanobdellati; Nanobdellota.
GGGCUCGUAGCUCAUCGGCUCAGAGCGCUCCCUCCGCAAGGGAGAAGCAGCGGGUUCAAUUCCCGCCGAGUCCA